This is a long non-coding RNA of Mirounga angustirostris (Northern elephant seal), 8323 nucleotides long. RefSeq lists it as uncharacterized. NCBI's taxonomy places the organism in Eukaryota, Metazoa, Chordata, Mammalia, Carnivora, Phocidae. The transcript is spliced from 9 exons. The record is from RefSeq and is a predicted model, not a curated record.
CGGCCGCCGGCGCUUUGUCUGCCCGCCCGCCCCCGCCCCCCGCCCGGCGGCCCGCAGCCCCGCAGCCCCGCAGCCCCGCAGCGCCGCAGCCCUGCGCCUCGCGCGCCCCCCGCCCCCGGCCCGGCCCGCGGCCCCCGCCUUCGCCCUCUUCCCUUUCUUUCCCCGCGCCUUUGUCUCCGCCUCGCUCCCCUUUGUGUCCCUGGGAAGACUCGGCCUCGGAUACCAGCGACCCCGCCCGGCCGGCUGUCGGUGACCCCACAGGCCCCCGGGACGCACGGCCCGCUGCCCUGCGGACAGCACGUUUGGGGAAGAAGUUAGUGGCAGUGAGGCCGCCACCCUCACACUUGGCACCUUGCCCGCUCCCUUUUCCUUCCCCCCGCAGCUCCCCCUGUCCCCUUCACCUCCAAGAAGGAGGCCCUACUGCUGGCACUAUCACUUUGGCCUAAAGUAGUUUUUCUCCCCUUUCCGAAAAUGCAUAUUUGCGGAGCAUAGCCGCCCGCUCUGGCUGCUAAGAAGAGGCUGAUCAGCGGGUGCAGCGGCGCUGUAGGCGCCCUGCCUGGAGCCCAACACAGAGCUUGAACUCAUGACCCCGAGAUCAAGACCUGAGCUGAGAUCAAGAGUUGGAUGCCUAACCGGCAGAGCCACCCAGAUAUCAAACAGAAGCACAAGGUUGUUGAGAGUAUGAAGAAAGAGAAUUCUUACUGUGUAGUCCUUCUUCUCUCCGGGAAAAGAGUCUGUCUGCCUCCUGCACACAGAGCCACCCAAACCAAUGAUGACACAGAAUCCAAUCAGAAAAGCAGCAUAAAGAUGAAAGGUCUUACCAAUGAGAAGUGAACUUGCUAAAGUACACCUUUCAAUGAAUUUGGACAAAACUGAAAAAUGUUGUUGAUACCAGAUCCUUAGGCUGAUUACUGAAGUGUUCGAUUUUUCAGUAUGUCAAUUCAUCACUGUCUACCUGGUUAUAUUUAACACUUUCUCCUGUUUCCAGCGUGUCUGCUGAGAUAGGCAAUCGCUGUCGCAUGAUAUCUACCUCUCAGGAAGGUCUUAGAAAUAAAUAAAUAAUGCAAAGAGAAGCCCUGGUGGCUGUAGGGAGGAGCCGGCGGCUGGGGACCGGUCCCCAUUACUGCAGGUACAUAUCGAGCAUGUGUAAGCCCUGUGUGCCUAGGGUGAUGCCAAAGAGCUAGAAGUUGUGACCUAGUUGAGUAACUGUCUGCUUGGAUCCUAUGGAUGAAUCCCUCAGCGUUGUUCAAGCAAGGAAGAAUCCAAUGGCAAAGAUUCACCUGGGGAGACAAUGGAAAAAGGGAUCUCAGGGCUAACUUGGGCCAGAAUGAGGCAGAGCUACCACCUGGAGCAGGGGACAGGAACCGUCAGGACACAAGGCGCCCCAGUUUUAUAACUGCAUUUUUAUGGAUGUGCAAACCAAAGCUUAGCGAAUACAAGGCAAGAAAGUGGCAGAACCAGGAUUUGAAGCUAAGAGUGUUUAACACCAAAGUCUUCACUCUUCAUAUCACAGCAGGAAUAAGGGCAACCCAGAGACAAGCUGUCCUCACCGGCAGUCCCUUGUCCCACAGCAUCCAUGAGCACAGGAAGUUGCUGUGUCCCAGGAUGAAGUCACUGAUCUAGAACACAGGGCGCUCUCUUAUUGGCGAGAGCCGCCUUGGAGAAGUCUUCUGCUCAGGGCGAUUACCAGCAGUGCCUCUGUCCCUGGCACCUCUUCAACAUGGAGCAAUUAUGCUUAUUUGGUGAAGGAUGAUGAAACGCAGAGGAGGCAAAUGCACUGGUGUAGAACUUUCCUCCCAACUUCAUCAGGUGUGCGCUGAGGACAUCCCUUGAGUGAAAAACGGGGCCGUGGUUACAACCUUCACCAGAGCGGGAAUGCAGGGACCUGCCCCUCCCGGGUCCCUGACGUCGACCCGCUGGCUUGCCACCCGAGCCAGUCCUGGGCUGACCCAGGCCUCCGACCUCCAGUGCCAGGCUGUGGAAACAGCCCAUCUGGCUUGGCAAAUGAACAGCUAAUGCUCUUCAUUUAUCUUGAAAUGGGAAGUUUUCAAUAGGCCUUAAGUGUGUAUUAAUGCAUCGAGAGUAAUGAUCCCUUUAUUUACAAAGUUGUUUAAUUCCUCACUUUUGUGCUGCUGGUGGGUCUGAGUGGAUUUUUCAUUUGCCAAGUUGCUCCAUGAUUUUCACAGCUGCUUAAGUAACCCUUGUUUCCCCCCUCUUCCCGAUCCUCCGACAAGAUAUCGAAGCAAAGUGAUUGCCAGCCUGACUUCUGACUUCUGACUCUGUUUCUGGGUUUGAUGAAUGGUUUCGUGUGAGGGGACAGUGGGACAGUGUGUGGACUAGAACGGAGACAUAGAACAUAGGUCUCCCCUGCUGCUCUGCGGUGGCCUCACUCCACCUGACGGUACUCUGCCUGACCCAGAUAGAGCCGUGGCUGGCCUGUGUGCCUCCAGGGUCCCGAAGCCCCCGCUUCCUACCUGGCAAGUUUCAGGAGUCCUCAAUGAGGGACAGGCAGUGCCUGAAACUCCUUUCAGAACAGGCUACCUGUUAGUGGUGGUGAUGUCACUUUAGUGGGUUGCAACUCCUUACCUUGUUAAAGAAAUGAAAAAGAAUAGGAACUAUCAGAGCACAUGGCAUCUGGUGAGGUGAGUAUGGUUUCUCUAAGGUUUGGUUUGGCUUUAGUUCCUUUGAGAAAUAAUUACUGAAUAGCUAUUACACGGCAGGCAGUUUUGGGAGCUGGUUUCAGUUAUGUGUUUAUAUCUGUGUCCAUGUGUAGCUAGUUAUACGUGUCCUGGAUCGCAACAUAAAAUGUAUGUCUUACCAUUGGUUGGUGUGGAAAGAUCUUGGAGAAUUCCCUGAUGUAGUUCUCAGCAUGCCCCAGGAUCUGAGUAAUCCCAAUCUGCUUUUGGUUCCAAGUUUCUCACCUGCCAACCAGAGCCUCGGCUCUUGAUGUAGUACUCUUGGUUGCUCAGUGCUUGCCUGGCAGGAUUCAGGGUGUGUUUUUAACUUUUUUUCCUGACCUACUCCCUGGAGGGAUGGGGGGGAGGAUCAGGCAUUUGGAAACACGUGACUCGAAGAGAAGGAGGUCCAUGCCUUAGCUGGCAGAGACUCGGGUAGCAGAUCAGCCGCUUGAAAUGGUAGAGAGAGAUCCCAAAGGAAAUUUGGGAUACUUUGCUAAAAAUGCAGCCAAGGAACAUGGGGAAGUGCUUCUGUAAGCUUACACACACAAACACACACAAUCCUAUACCAAUCCAGAAUUUUCGCUAUCAGAAAAAAAUGGAAGUUUCUUUAAGGCUUUCCCAUUUGUGGUUGUAGCAAAUGCCACAGAGACCAUCUGAAGCUAUCCAAGAACUAAAAACAGUCUUCACAGGUGUUGCUUUUCAGAAAUUUUGGCCAGCCCACCCCACAAGGAUCUCACUGACUCGGCACUGUGUGUCUCCUGUGAAAAUGUCUCACCCAAACAGGGACCUGGAUUGAAAUGGUUCAAGCCCAGUAUCGUCUGACUGAUCUGCUACCUGGGUCUCUGCCACCUGAGUCACUGACCUCCUUCUCUCAGAGCAUGUGUUUCCAAAUGCCUGUCCCCCGCCCCUCCAGGAGACGCACCAUAGAGACUGAGUCUGUAAUGAGGGCUGGAGCUUGCAUCUGAGACAACACUGGCACAAGGUGGAGGAUGAGGGGCUGUGGGAACCAGGCUUACAUUCAAAGGGCAUCAACCCAGACUUUUGAUGUUAUCUUCAAAUGAGGCCAUGGGUAGAGUUGCAGGAUAGCAGGACAGAGGAAGAUGGUUUCUGCACAACGUUGUUUCCUAUAUAGGACAAAGCUACGGAUAAGGCUUUAUAAAUUAGUAUCUGAACACAAAUCAUGUAAUUAUAUUAUGAGUAGCACCAUUAUAUUGCACUGUAUUUUUUGGUGUUAAAAACUUUAGAUAGUUGAAUGUCAAUGACUUUCUGUAAUUUUAGUUUUGCAAUAGACUGAAGCCUGUGAGGCUUUGGUUGGGUCAAUUUGAGAAGCUUGAUCCAGGGCAUGCCUGAAUGUCAAUCCCAUGAGGAUGCUAAGUAGAGGCCAUUCUAGAAAAAUUGCUUGAUGCUCUUUAUCAACUAAGGAAAAGUGAAAGCGGAAUCUAAUCCCAUGUACAGAACACUUUGGACACUUUCAGAGCAACACUGAAUACCAUAGGUGAUGGGCAACACGUCCCCAAAUGGCAUCUUCACAAAGUAUGACAGUGCCCUGGGGAUCAUGAAGUGGGGAGGGGAAGUCUUAGGCCAGGUACUGCCUAGCACUGUAGUUCUGGAAAGCUCAGGAACUCUCCUUCCUUUUAGUUUACUUUUUCUCUUAUAUGAAAAAGGGGCUGCCCCUCACCCUCCCACCCCACCAAGUAUCAAGAGUCAUGUAUUAAGAAAACUUGAAAAACCAAAAAUACUUAGAGCCAAACAAAAUAAUCACCCAUAAUGCUCCCCCUCUGUCUCAGUCCCACUACCCAGCCAGGGAAGGUAGCCGUGAUAGCAGCAGGGCAUAUGUCCUUCCAGAUCUUUUUCUUCACCUUUAGAUUGCAAGGGGAGCCAUUCCUUUUUUUCUCCUUGGGUUUUUACUUCGGACAAUUAAAUUGGAACUUCCUUCCCUAAGGAGGUACUAGGCAGAGUACUUUCACUUUUCCCUCUGUUGCCUCACUUACUCCCCUGUGCCCAUGGGAAGAGGGUUUUGUGGAGGGAGGGGGGAUAAGGGGGAUUACUUAAGCAUGCCCCUUCCACUCAUGGUUCAGGAGGUUCACCUCCGCUUAUCCUCAACACUCAGCGGGUUCUCAGCUGGGGCAGCUCACCUCCCUUGGUUGGGGGACAUUUGGAAACACGUGGGAAAGGCUCUUCAUUGUCACACUGCUUGGGGGAUUGGUUCUCUGGUACCUGAUGGGUGAUGGCUAGGGAUGCUAAUAACCUGCACCGUGUCAGACAGCCCCACCCAACAUGCCAGUAACGUGGGGUUGAGAACUCUACACAGGGAUAAACUUUGCAGGGCUGGCCUGGCCUCGCAGUGAGCUGUAGUGCUCUGUGGCUCAGGAUGAUUCACGGAGGAAAGGUAGGGAGCCCGCUCUGCCCUAGCUCCAAGCUACGUUUUUCCAAAAUGCUUAGUAACAAAGCUGAUAUUUUGCUCUCCAUUCGCCCAGCUCUUUACUCUGCUUCUCAGUUGGAGGGGAAGAGAGAAGGGUGAUUAAUUAUCAACUUCCAACACAGACUUUAAAAACAUAUAGUUUCAUUAUGCUCUACAUGUUGCUUUGUACCUUGCUUUUUUCACAUUGAAAUUGAUCAGUUUUUCAUGACAGGAUUUUGUCAUGACUUUUUUUUUUUUUUUAAGAUUUUAUUUGUUCAUUUGAGACACAGAGAUACAGAGAGAGAGAGCAUGAGCAGGGAGAGGCAGAGGGAGAAGGAGAAGCAGGCUCCCCACUGAGCCGGGCGCCUGAUGUGGGGCUUGAUCCCAGGACCCUGGGAUCAUGACCUGAGCCGAAGCCAGAUGCUUAACCAUCUCAGCCACCCAGGCGCCCCUUGUCAAGACUUUUAAUGACCGCAUCACAUCCCAGCAUAAAGAUGUGCCAUGCUUUACCUAAUCAAUUCUUUCCUUUUAGACAUUUAGGCUGUUUUCAGUUUUUUUCGUUUGUAUAAAUAGGUUACUGCACCAAACACCCUUAUACUCCACAUCUCAGCACACAUUUCUGAUUCUUUGAGAUACAUCUUAGAACUCGCAUUAAGGUUUAUGCAUAGUAUUUAGACUUUUUGUUUUUAAAAACUACUUUUUUGGAGAUGUAAUUGGCAUAUAAUAAACUGCAUGUAUUUAAAGUAUAUACUUUGACAGGUUUUGACAUAUAUAUGCACCCAUGGAACCCUCAUCACAAUCAUGAUAGUGAACAUAUAUGUCACCCCAAAAGUUUCCUUGUGACUCUUUGUAAAUCCUCCCUCUCCCUCAUGCCCUCCCCACCCUGUCCCCAGGCGCCACUGAUCUGCUUUUCUAUGACUAUAGAUUAGUUUCCGUUUCCUGGAGUUUUAUAUAAAUGGAAUUAUACUGUAUGUACUGUUUUUGUCUGGCUUCUUUUACUCAGCGUACUUAUUUUGGGACUCGUCUAUAUUGUUGAGUGCAUCGACAAUCCAUCACUUUUUCUUGCCGGGUAGUAUUCCAUUGUGUAGAGUACAGUUUAUUUCUUCAUUCACCUGUUGAUGGAUAUUUGGGUUGUUUUCUUUUGGGGGCUAUUAUAAAUACAGAUACAAUGAACAUUUGUGUCCAAGACUUCAUGUAGACUUCAGUUUUCAUUUUUCUUGGGGAAAUACCUAGAAGUGCAGUGGUUGAAUCGUAUGCUGGGGGCAUGUUUAACUUUUUAAGAAACUGCCAGACUUUUUGAUUGAGUGGUUGUACCCUAUUAAGACUUUUGGUAUUUAGCUUAAAAUAAUGCAAGUGAAUUUGAAUUGGUUUUACUUGCCCUUAGAUUAGGAGCAUAAACUCAUAGGACAGUGGAGCUCAAAGGAACUUGAUAUCACAAUCCAGUUCUCGGGAUUUACUGUAGAGGAAAUAGUGAUCCAGAAAGGUUAAACAGCUUUUCUGAGCUCUUGCUGCUCAUAGGCUAGUCUCUUUACUCUUCUGUAAGAUCUUGCAAUUUGGGGGAAUUCUACUAGUCAUGUUGCAGCUUCCCAGCAUGGCCUUGUGUGUAGCUGUCAAGGACACGGCUUUCCUUCAGAAUAGGCCUUGCUUUGCAUGUGUUACAUAACUUUGGGCAUGAAACAUCUUUUAAAAUUCUGGGACUUUCAGGACGGGGAGUAAAGAGCAUCAAAAGGGUAAUGAGCCUAUCAUCUAUGGGAAAUCACAUGUGGCCACUCACAGUAUCUACAGCAACUCAGCAGCAGGUCAAAUAAAAAUGUGCUAUCAUCAUUAAGACUUGGUGCUCGGAGGAGAUUCACCUCGUUUCUAAACAAACUGAUACACCCAAAGAAUUAAGACUGCAGAGCACUCCAUUAGAAGUGAAGAAAACAGAAUGCCAAUUACCUGGCUUCUUUAGCUUACCUUUCCAGCUCCCACCUCUUAUUAUCAUAUUCAUAAGCAUUGUCCCUAAUCAGUCUUCCUGAGUAAAGUUAACAAGUGUAUGCGUGCACUCUCUUGAAAUUGUUGUGCUUAGCCUAAGAAGCUGUCAUGAGGUUGAGAAGGCUGCCGCUUUAACCAGAUUUCAUCUCUGUGUGUCACUGCUCAUGUCAAAGUAAAAUGCGCUCAGACAUAAGAGUUGUCCUCCUUUCAUCAAGAGCGCCAGCCUGCCUGAGCUUUGUUCCACUUGGUUAAUCUUGUUAUUUAAAUUGUUAAAAUUGAGACAUCGGCAGUAAAUUUCAGAGAAGAUAUAACAAUUAUUAGAUACAAGCUGGGCUCUUGUACUUGAGAAUAUACCAUGCCCUCCAUCCACCGGUGGCAUUAGCCACAAAUAAUUUACAACGGUUUCUUUAAGAAGUGUGCCCUAUAGUACUUGAAUGGCAUUAAAUCACAGUCCAUCCCCACCUGGAUCAUAUUUCCAACUUUAAGAUAGAUUUGGUUCCAGUCAGCAGAGUGGCAGAGCACUCCAGGGGACCGCCUUUUAAUGCCUAUAACUCUUGAAGAGCUGAGCGAGGCUUCCUGAAGCUGCCUUCUGGUUAUGAGUUUUGUGUUUAGGUGACUUUAUACACCAGGCAGGGGAGCCACAAUCCAGAACAAUCACUCCUGGAGGAUAAAGAGAAGGAAAAGCUGGGAGGCUCUCUGGGUAACCUUGUGCCAUUCAGUGAUCCCAUUAAAAUCCGAUAGGGGCACUUGACCUUGUGGCUCUUGUGCCCUGGGCCACAAUCUAGUUGGACCGAGGCAAAGGCUAAAGGGACAGGAUAAGCGUGAAUGAAGCUGGGAAUUCUUAGUUGGAUCAUCGGAGGCCCUGGCCCUCUGACCCAUCUUAUCCAACCCCUGUCUCAGUGCAGAAACCCCAGUAAUGGGUACCUGCUUAUUGAGCAGUUGACUCAUUGGACUUUGGGGUCAACAGAAAUCCCAGGCUUGGCUGUUGCUGUUUAAUCCAGAUGGUUCUCAAGCCAAGUCUCCCCUAAUCCGUACUUGUAGAAUUGGUUGCUUGGUCCCAAAUGCAGGGCUUGACAUUUAGCUUUGCAAAAUUCCCUCGUAUUGACUUUGGCCCCUUAUUUCUAUUAAUAAAAUAUUUAACAAUUCUGCUUCUGACAUUGAAUGUGUCAGAUUUAUGGAAUCUUUACGUGUCUAAGUGUUUGUCCAAAUCGGAGAGGUAAAUAUAACUUUUAGAGCUGAGGGAAGGCCUGAACAUCACCAAUCCAGAAUG